RNAcentral lists this microRNA precursor (94 nucleotides) under Marmota monax (woodchuck). Lineage: Eukaryota; Metazoa; Chordata; Mammalia; Rodentia; Sciuridae. The record is from RNAcentral.
AGUGAAAUUGUUGAAUUAUAUAUAUUCAACUUUUUGAAGAACAGCUUAGCUCUCUUCCACAGUGGCUGAAUCAUUUCACAUUUUCACCAGCAAU